Molecule: long non-coding RNA, 930 nt
Organism: Danaus plexippus (monarch butterfly)
Lineage: Eukaryota; Metazoa; Arthropoda; Insecta; Lepidoptera; Nymphalidae
Exons: 3
Source: RefSeq, a predicted model, not a curated record
UAAAUAGAUUUUGAUUUAAAAUAUAUAGUUUUAUAUGUACAUAUAUUUAUUAAUAUCUCCAUGUUAGUUGUGUCACCUACGGUGAUAUUCUCCUGAUAAUAGCUACGUAAAUAUGAUUAUAACAAAUAUAUAAUUUGUUUAAAAUUCAUGAAUAUUUAUUUUUUUAUUAGAAAUUUAGGCAUCGAACAGUUCUUAGGACGGAAAGUGUUAUGGCACGAAAACAAAAAGCAGCAGUCGCCCUAAAGUCUGAUCGUGGCAUCGUUCAUAUUUUCCGCAUGAAUUGCUAACAAUGAAAGGAAGGCGGUGUGGUUCAAAAACCGUAGAGCAAAAUGGCGUAAACAGAAGCGCGAGGAACAGGAGAGAUUGCGGAAAUUGCAGGAAGAAAGGGUGUGUGGCAGGGCGUUGGUCACCACCAGGCCGAGACUGUCACCACCUACACGGCCACCACCAGCACCACCGACGCCACGGCCCUAUACAGACGACUCCGAGGACUCGGAUCUAGAGGUAGCUUAGACCUCAGACAGAAAGUGAUGUGAAAUGAGCACAAACAAGCUUUUGGACAAACAGUGAAACGGUUUUGUAAAUGUUAUAAUAAAAUAAGUUUAACAAUUUUAUUCCACGCUAUGUAUUAUUGCUUAUGUAGGUAGAUAGUUUUAAGUAAUUUUUAUUUUACUAUUAAUAUCUAGCUAAAAUAUAUCUAGUUAUGUAAAUUUCAAUAUAACAAUUUUAGCGUAUAUAAAAUAGAUGAAAAAUGAAACUUAGAUUCUCAUAAAGUUGUCCUUUUGAAUUAAAAAAAAUAAAUAUAUAACAUUCUAGAACAUGUUCAAUAAUAUGUGUUUUGGUUGUUUAACAUUAAAUAUACUUUAUAGACCUAUAGCAAAAUCAUGAUCUCUCCUAAGAUUAAAAUAUCUACUGAGUAGGAAAACAAUA